GUGGGGAAUAUUGGACAAUGGGCGAAAGCCUGAUCCAGCCAUGCCGCGUGUGUGAAGAAGGUCUUCGGAUUGUAAAGCACUUUAAGUUGGGAGGAAGGGUUGUAGAUUAAUACUCUGCAAUUUUGACGUUACCGACAGAAUAAGCACCGGCUAACUUCGUGCCAGCAGCCGCGGUAAUACGAAGGGUGCAAGCGUUAAUCGGAAUUACUGGGCGUAAAGCGCGCGUAGGUGGUUCGUUAAGUUGGAUGUGAAAGCCCCGGGCUCAACCUGGGAACUGCAUCCAAAACUGGCGAGCUAGAGUACGGUAGAGGGUGGUGGAAUUUCCUGUGUAGCGGUGAAAUGCGUAGAUAUAGGAAGGAACACCAGUGGCGAAGGCGACCACCUGGACUGAUACUGACACUGAGGUGCGAAAGCGUGGGGAGCAAACAGGAUUAGAAACCCGGGUAGUCC
Molecule: ribosomal RNA, 450 nt
Filed under: uncultured bacterium
Lineage: Bacteria
Description: partial 16S ribosomal RNA
Rfam family: Bacterial small subunit ribosomal RNA
Source: RNAcentral